This 582-nucleotide long non-coding RNA is filed under the name Homo sapiens (human). Its description in RNAcentral is "HSALNT0135168". Lineage: Eukaryota; Metazoa; Chordata; Mammalia; Primates; Hominidae. The record is from RNAcentral.
AAGAGGAGCCUGAGCAGCCUUUCUCCUAGGAGACAAGCCCUCUCUUGCUGUCCAUGUGAUAUGGAUGCAAGAAUAUGGAGUACAAUGCAUGGGAGCUUACUUUUAAGUCAUAUUAACCUUUUUCACUAGUAAAAUGUGGCCUCAUCUAUAUCCUGGGAUUAAACCAAUUAAUUUAGCAACACCAUUGGUGCUGGUAGUAGGCCCAAUUAAGGAGAUCGGCAAGGGAUAGAGGUGUUUGAGGAGAAGUGACUCUUUAGGAUUAUUGUCCUCUCGAGUCAUUGGACUUAACAGCCAAGCCUCUGGUCAGUCAGAGGUGUGGCUGUAUCCCAAAGAGGAUAUGACCAGUCAUGACCAGCAGAUACCUUCUUUUAUCUUCCUGAGGCUUCUUCUCUGCUAUAUACCCUUGCCCCUUUGUAUCCUCCUGGAACAGUGACAUGAGCAGUUAAAUUACUGUCUCUAAGCCUCUGAAAUGAGUCAGAACUGGAAUUGAUUAAUGCCUCCAAGGGCAUUUUGAGCAUUAGGUCAAAAAUUUAUUGUUUAUUUUAUUUCCCAUGCAAACCAUAACCACAUCAUCCAACCCAG